AGCCACCAACAAGGCACCCUCUGCAACACAGGCAGGCCUUGUGGUGUAUUUUCCUACUGUACAUCUUGUCUGUGGGUCCUGUGAUCCUCCUCCUCUCAGUAACUGAGCUGCUGCAUACCCACUGAUGUCAGGAUCCCUCUUCUGAUAGGCAGAAGCCUAUUUCUUCCUCAGAUUGCAUCAGCCAAGUGCUUCGAAGCCAGGGGUUUUCCCUCAAAAUCUCAAAUCCUGUUCCAGCUAAAUGUAGCCACCAGCCUCUUUCUUAGCUGUUGCCUCUUCUUCCAAAAAGUUUUGGUUGGAGGGAGGAGGUGGGAGAGGUGAAAGUGAACUCUCCAUUAGGCUAUUAAAUUUCUGUAUUCUGACUAGCCUGUUUGUAGGUGUGGUCUUGGGUCUUUACCAAAGCACAGAAAUUUUGCUGAUUUGGUGCUUGCUGGGACAUAAUACAUGCUGCUUUGGAAGGACAGACUUCUGUGCAAGGAAAACAAUGAGAGUCUUGCAUUGGAAAUUCAAGAUACACCGAUCAAGUUGCCAGGCCUGCGCCUCAUUGGCCACCAGCUGAAGUGACCGUGUGCUCUGGUUGGAUUUGGUAGAUGGGAUCUACCUGCAGCAGACUGCCCUCAUGCCAAACCUGUCUGGAUGGUCCAUGGUUGGUGAAAACAGAGACUUGGAGACUUUGCAUCACAAGGCGUGGAGUGCACUGACUGUUGCCAUGAAGUCUGGUUAUUCUGAAGACUUAAAGCCAUAUAUAUGAAGCAAGUUAGUACUAAAUUGACUACUGUACCUUUCAUUAGAUCUAUUAUCUACCUAGAGGCUAUUUUCACUUUCAAGUGGCAUUUGCUCCAUAAUAAGUAAUGUCUCAAAAUGCUGUUAAUUAAAGUUUCAUCUGUUUAGAGGAAUUUCUUCUUCUUCCCCCUUUCCUCUUUUCUUUUCAGAAGGUAGUAAUUAUUCCAAGAGUGUGGAGACAUUGUUACUGUAGCUCAUUAAAUAUGGCAAUGCUCACUUGGACCUUUGAGUGCUGGUGAUGUCAAGUUGACCUGAAAUGCAAGGAUUCCAUCUGUCAGGAAUUACUGAUGAAUUGGCAAUUAAAUAUAAAUAAAUAUAUAUAUAUAUAUAUUUAACUCA
RNAcentral lists this long non-coding RNA (1119 nucleotides) under Cyanistes caeruleus (blue tit). RNAcentral describes it as "lncRNA (ENSCCEG00000001358.1)". Lineage: Eukaryota; Metazoa; Chordata; Aves; Passeriformes; Paridae. The record is from RNAcentral.